GACGAACGCUGGCGGCGUGCUUAACACAUGCAAGUCGAACGAGAAAGCCCCUCGGGGUAAGUACAGUGGCGAACGGGUGAGUAACACGUGGGCAACCUGCCCCAGAGAGCGGGACAACCCGAGGAAACUCGGGCUAAUACCGCAUGAUGCGUCUCCGCUUAAGUGGAGCCGCCAAAUGGUAGCUUCGGCCUCCGCUCUGGGAUGGGCCCGCGCCGGAUUAGCUAGUUGGUUGGGGUAAUGGCCCACCAAGGCGACGAUCCGUAGCUGGUCUGAGAGGAUGAUCAGCCACACUGGGACUGAGACACGGCCCAGACUCCUACGGGAGGCAGCAGUGGGGAAUAUUGGACAAUGGGCGAAAGCCUGAUCCAGCAAUGCCGCGUGAGUGAUGAAGG
This 392-nucleotide ribosomal RNA is filed under the name uncultured bacterium. Its description in RNAcentral is "bacterial SSU rRNA". It matches the Rfam family "Bacterial small subunit ribosomal RNA", at positions 28 to 414 of the family's 1533-position model. The record is from RNAcentral.